UGGGCUUCUAGGUGGGAUUAGAUUUUGGAGUCUGUGCCUCAUGCUAAUAUUCAGUGUAUUGUGAAUUCCUUUGUUGUUAUUCUUUUCUUAUCUGGAACGGUGGCUAUCAUAUUAAGGAUUCUCCAUAAAGAUAUUAUCAGAUAUAAUAAGAUGAAUUCUGAUGCCCAGCAGGAGUUUGGCUGGAAGAUGAUUCAUGCAGUUGUUUUCAGGCCCCCAAAGAACGCAAUGUUGCUGUCAGCCUUCCUGGGUCAAGGAACACAAAUUUUGUUUGUUACCUUUAUUACUUUAGUCUGGCCUGCCUUGGUUUUCCUUCUCCUGCCAAUGGAGGAGCUUUAAUGACCUGUGCCAUUGUGUUAUGGGUCCUUCUGGGAACCCCUGCCAGAUAUGUGUCUGCUAUAAUGUAUAAGAAGGUGCUAAGUGGAAGACAAAUGCCUUGCUGACAGCACUAUUAUGUCCGGGGUUAAAUUGUCUUUGCUGAUCUCUUUAUUAUGAUGAAAAUUCUCUGGAUGGAAGGGUCAUCAGCUGCCGUCUCCUUUGCUACUCUGCUAGAUAUCCUUACAAUUUGGUUUAGAAUUUUAGUACCACUAACAUUUUUUGGUGCAUAUUUUGGAAAUAAAGAAAAGAUUAGUUGUCCAGUUCAGACAAACCAGAUCCCCUGUCAGAUUCCUCCAUAGAACUUCUUUACAAAACCACUUCUUGGCAUCAUAAUUGGUGGCAUUUUCCCCUUCGGCUGUAUUUUUAUUCAACUCUUUUUCAUUCUGAACAGUAUUUGGUCUCAUUAGCUGUACUACAUGUUUGGCUUCCUUUUCUUAGUCUUUAUAAUUCUUGUGAUUACUUGCUCAGAAGUUACAGUUUUGCUGUAUUAUUUUCAUUUAUGUGCUGAGGAUUAUCAUUGGUGGUGGCGAUUUUUAACCAGAAGCUUUAUAGCUGUUUAUCUUUUUACGUAUGCAGUUCAUUACUUCUCUGCCAAACUUCAAAUCACAGAAAUUGCGAGCUCUAUUUUGUACUUUGGGUACAUGAUGAUCAUUGUGUUGAUUUUCUUCCUUUUCAUAGAGACAGUUGGAUUUUUUUCCUGUUUCUGGUUAAUUGCUAAAAUCUACAGUGUGCUGAAGGUGGAGUAA
Molecule: long non-coding RNA, 1121 nt
Filed under: Homo sapiens (human)
Lineage: Eukaryota; Metazoa; Chordata; Mammalia; Primates; Hominidae
Description: non-protein coding lnc-CD40LG-2:7
Source: RNAcentral